This 21-nucleotide non-coding RNA is filed under the name Arabidopsis thaliana (thale cress). Lineage: Eukaryota; Viridiplantae; Streptophyta; Magnoliopsida; Brassicales; Brassicaceae. The record is from RNAcentral.
UAGAAAGAGAUGGGGUCUUAC